UCCGGUUUGGCACCGGCAGUCCCCCCAGAGUCCUCGGCUUGCCCGGUAGCAACUGGGGGCGAGGGUUGCGCUCGUUGCGGGACUUAACCCAACAUCUCACGACACGAGCUGACGACAGCCAUGCAGCACCUGUGCUCGAGUCCCGAAGGAGGGCCCCGGUUUCUCGGGGCUUUCUCGAGCAUGUCAAGCCCAGGUAAGGUUCUUCGCGUUGCGUCGAAUUAAACCACAUGCUCCACCGCUUGUGCGGGCCCCCGUCAAUUCCUUUGAGUUUCAGCCUUGCGGCCGUACUCCCCAGGCGGGGCACUUAAUGCGUUAGCGCCGGCACCCAGGGGGUCGCUCCCCCAAGCACCUAGUGCCCAUCGUUUACGGCGUGGACUAC
Molecule: unclassified non-coding RNA, 379 nt
Filed under: uncultured Gemmatimonadaceae bacterium
Lineage: Bacteria; Pseudomonadati; Gemmatimonadota; Gemmatimonadia; Gemmatimonadales; Gemmatimonadaceae
Description: contains 16S-23S intergenic spacer region
Source: RNAcentral